GUCUAAUAUAUCUUUAAUAAAACAUAAUAAAAUAAUGUCCUAAUGCACAGUGAAUCCAAAUGCAUCAUGCCUGAAGAGAAGCUUCCAAAAUGCCACAACCUUGAAAGCCUACACAAUUCCAAACAUCUUGAAUCUGGCAAUGAGUUUCCAUCAGAAUCAUGAUAGAAGGGUAAUACUUAAUGAAAUCUUUAAACUCAAUCAUAGCAAUGAUAGAUAAACAAAG
Molecule: long non-coding RNA, 223 nt
Filed under: Lupinus angustifolius (narrow-leaved blue lupine)
Lineage: Eukaryota; Viridiplantae; Streptophyta; Magnoliopsida; Fabales; Fabaceae
Description: long non-coding RNA (LANG_LNC002554)
Source: RNAcentral